UGUGUAUAAAAAAAACUGAACCCUUUCAAAUUCAAAUUAGCUAUAACGUAUUGUAGUAAUUUGACAGCUCUAAUUGCUUUAAAUUAAUGGUUGGAUAAGAACACUAGGUCUUGUACUCAUGGGACAAAACUCAAAGAAAUAAAAAUUAGAAAAUUUAAAAGAAAUACAGUAUUCCUUGUGUUCUUACCCAACCAUUAAUUCAAGGCAAUUAGAGCUGUCAAAUUACUACAAUACGUUAUAGCUAAUUUGAAUUUGAAAGGGUUAUGAGUUUUUUUUAUACAUCCUGUAGUUGGCUUUAGAAGGUCCAGUGGAAGAUUAGCGAAAGCUAAACUGGCAUAUUUCCUUGUAAAUUAACCUUCUUUAAAUAAAGUUUUAAUAAUAAUAAUAAUAAUAAUUUUCGUUGAAAUUGAACCAAAAUUUAAUCGAUUUGUCCUUGGCCUACUACAAUUAACCCUACAAUGUUUCGUAUUAAUACGUUUGAUAUUUUACGUUUGAUAGUUAUUGCGCUAACAGACAAAACACACGCAUAUUGGCGGAGGUAAUAAUGGGUGCAAAUGAAAUAUAACCUUAUUAAAAAUCAUUAAUUUAAACAGACGUAGUUUGAGGUAAGAGCAGCAGGGCAAUUAUCACGUUUAAAGAGAGGAUAAGCAUCGUAUAAGGAAGUGCUCAAGUACGCUACAUAAUCAUGUGUUAAGACUAUUACACCAGGCUGUAAAAAUCCUUAAUCCACGAACACCGGAGGAAAAGUCUCGUUCAAAAUAGGGUACGCAUUUAAUUGAAUUAACACUAAUUUAUCUUCAUUUCCCAUGUACUGUAGUUUUAAGGGACGGACCAUUUGAUUUUUGAUGGGGGGUGGGUAGAUUUUCAGUUUGCUCGAUAUUUUUUUUCCGCCUCCUGACACUGUUCGAUUUUUUUUUGUCAGUCGGAGGACUUGCACGAUAUUUUUUUGUAUGCAUGUAUAUACAUUUUUUAGUUUUUUGUUUUUACAUUUUUUGGUGUAUAAUAGGUAAUUGGACAAGUACUGGUGUAAGACAUUGUGUAGCCUAAAUAAUGAGAGUACCAGUAUUCCAAAAAUGGUUGUUCUUCAUUUCUUUACUCCGACUCCUAUGAUGAACAUGUACGUAAAAAAAACUAGGGAAACUACGAUUAAUUGCCAAACGCCCCUAUCCCUGUCUUAUAAGCUCCUACACCACUAACACCAUAUUUGGAUGCAAUCACCUACAGUCACAUGAUCAUCCUUAUCACAAUCAUUCAAACUCACUAUACCAUUGAGUAAGUUAACCCUUAAUUGAAGGACCUGCAAAUUUGCUUCACUUCACCAAUACGAACGAUGAACAAUAAAGUGCGUAGUGUUGGAAUGUCCCGCAAACAACAAGGCCUUUGGUAGGAUAACUUGACUAAUAACAUGUAUAGUAGUUACAUCGUUUCACCUUCGUUUUUGUACUGUGUAAUUGGUUAUUUUCCGUUAUUUUAUAAUAAUAAUAACUCCUUCCUUCUCCUCUUCAAAUUCUCCUAAACUCUCCUUCCUUCUCCUCUUCAAAUUAUAUUAUAUCUACACCCCCUCCUCUUAAAAAAGCCUGCUGAAGAAAACUGUUAGGUCGAAACGCAUACCCCUGUACGCUAUUCCUAUACUCAAUUUCAACCUCUCGCUCUUAUAUCCUCGCCUUUGAUCGUGUCCCAUAAAAAUUUCACCUAUUUAGUUUCNNNNNNNNNNNNNNNNNNNNAAGGCCCGAGGAAAUUUUUUAAUUUAGAGUCUCUGAAAUGCCAUUUUCCUGGACCCUGCAGCCCGGCUACAUUCGGAAAUGCACCGAAUGGCAAAUAAGGAUUACCACUCGAAAGUCUUGCUCGAUAUUUUUUUUUGUCCGUUUAUUCUUGCACGAUAUUUUUUUUAAGUUCAAAUUGCUUGCCCGAUAUUUUUUUUGGGAUUCUACCCACCCCCCCAUCAAAUAUCAAAUGGUCCGUCCCUUAG
This 1969-nucleotide long non-coding RNA is filed under the name Paramuricea clavata. The record is from RNAcentral. Lineage: Eukaryota; Metazoa; Cnidaria; Anthozoa; Malacalcyonacea; Plexauridae.